Molecule: ribosomal RNA, 160 nt
Filed under: Diploicia canescens
Lineage: Eukaryota; Fungi; Ascomycota; Lecanoromycetes; Caliciales; Caliciaceae
Also listed under: 3 other names
Description: 5.8S ribosomal RNA
Rfam family: 5.8S ribosomal RNA
About the family: 5.8S ribosomal RNA (5.8S rRNA) is a component of the large subunit of the eukaryotic ribosome. It is transcribed by RNA polymerase I as part of the 45S precursor that also contains 18S and 28S rRNA.
Source: RNAcentral
AAAACUUUCAACAACGGAUCUCUUGGUUCUGGCAUCGAUGAAGAACGCAGCGAAAUGCGAUAAGUAAUGUGAAUUGCAGAAUUCAGUGAAUCAUCGAAUCUUUGAACGCACAUUGCGCCCUCUGGUAUUCCGGGGGGCAUGCCUGUUCGAGCGUCAUUGC